AUUGAACGCUGGCGGCAGGCCUAACACAUGCAAGUCGAGCGGUAACAGGGGUAGCUUGCUACCCGCUGACGAGCGGCGGACGGGUGAGUAAUGCAUAGGAAUCUGCCCGAUAGUGGGGGAUAACCUGGGGAAACCCAGGCUAAUACCGCAUACGUCCUACGGGAGAAAGGGGGCUCCGGCUCCCGCUAUCGGAUGAGCCUAUGUCGGAUUAGCUGGUUGGUGAGGUAACGGCUCACCAAGGCGACGAUCCGUAGCUGGUCUGAGAGGAUGAUCAGCCACAUCGGGACUGAGACACGGCCCGAACUCCUACGGGAGGCAGCAGUGGGGAAUAUUGGACAAUGGGGGGAACCCUGAUCCAGCCAUGCCGCGUGUGUGAAGAAGGCCCUCGGGUUGUAAAGCACUUUCAGUGAGGAAGAACGCCUGGUGGUUAAUACCCAUCAGGAAAGACAUCACUCACAGAAGAAGCACCGGCUAACUCCGUGCCAGCAGCCGCGGUAAUACGGAGGGUGCGAGCGUUAAUCGGAAUUACUGGGCGUAAAGCGCGCGUAGGUGGCUUGAUAAGCCGGUUGUGAAAGCCCCGGGCUCAACCUGGGAACGGCAUCCGGAACUGUCAAGCUAGAGUGCAGGAGAGAAAGGUAGAAUUCCCGGUGUAGCGGUGAAAUGCGUAGAGAUCGGGAGGAAUACCAGUGGCGAAGGCGGCCUUCUGGACUGACACUGACACUGAGGUGCGAAAGCGUGGGUAGCAAACAGG
This 751-nucleotide ribosomal RNA is filed under the name uncultured Halomonas sp. Its description in RNAcentral is "bacterial SSU rRNA". It matches the Rfam family "Bacterial small subunit ribosomal RNA", at positions 28 to 776 of the family's 1533-position model. The record is from RNAcentral. Lineage: Bacteria; Pseudomonadati; Pseudomonadota; Gammaproteobacteria; Oceanospirillales; Halomonadaceae.